UGGGGAAUUUUGGACAAUGGGGGCAACCCUGAUCCAGCAAUGCCGCGUGAGUGAAGAAGGCCUUCGGGUUGUAAAGCUCUUUUGUCAGGGAAGAAACACCGGCUCUAACACAGUCCGGGAAUGACGGUACCUGAAGAAUAAGCACCGGCUAACUACGUGCCAGCAGCCGCGGUAAUACGUAGGGUGCGAGCGUUAAUCGGAAUUACUGGGCGUAAAGCGUGCGCAGGCGGUUAUACAAGACAGGCGUGAAAUCCCCGGGCUUAACCUGGGAAUGGCGCCUGUGACUGUAUAGCUAGAGUGUGUCAGAGGGGGGUAGAAUUCCACGUGUAGCAGUGAAAUGCGUAGAUAUGUGGAGGAAUACCAAUGGCGAAGGCAGCCCCCUGGGAUAACACUGACGCUCAUGCACGAAAGCGUGGGGAGCAAACAGGAUUAGAUACCCUGGUAGUCCACGCCCUAAACGAUGCUGACUAGUUGUUCGGGAUUUACAUCCUGAGUAACGUAGCUAACGCGUGAAGUCAGCCGCCUGGGGAGUACGGUCGCAAGAUUA
This 547-nucleotide ribosomal RNA is filed under the name uncultured prokaryote. Its description in RNAcentral is "bacterial SSU rRNA". It matches the Rfam family "Bacterial small subunit ribosomal RNA", at positions 355 to 896 of the family's 1533-position model. The record is from RNAcentral.